UCUUCCUUUUUCUUUUUCAGUGCUAGCUGUAGUUAAUGAGCAUCUUUGUGUAUACAACUUUUGCUACAGUUGAAUCCAUCUUCAAGCAGAAAUUCCCUGGAAUGAAAUCCUUUGGUCAAAGGGCAUGAACAGUUUUACCGCUCUAGCUGGACAGAAUUGCCGUGUUGCUUUCCUAAGGGGUCUUUCAAAUCACAAAGCCCCUGAGCUUACCAAUGUUCUAAUAACCUUGCCAACACCAAGUGUUAUUGGUUUAAACAUUCUAAGCUAAUUUAGUUGGUGUAAUGUGGUCCCUCAAGGGUAGUUGCAGGUGCAUUCACUUGACCUCUACGAAGGAUGAACAUUUCCCAUGAGUUUUCCACUUGUGUUUCAUCCUUGCCUUUGCUUCAGUUUCCUGUGAGACAAAUUGGAGUUUGACAUCCCUCCUCAAGAUGCCUCCUCCAAGACCAGAGUUCCCUGUGGCUGAGCUGUGUGUGCAGAGAGCACCUUUCUCUCUCCUUGGGAAGCCCUUUGAAUGUAGAAACUCUGCAUUCCUCAUUCCUGUGCCCUCCCUCUCCCCAGUGGCUAGGACUUAACACCAAAGGGUGCUCAGGAAACAAAUGGAAGCAGGGCACUAACCAACUCCAGGAGGACUGGGAGCAUGUUUCCCGCUGAAUCCCUGCCAUCUUGACCACUGCCUGGCAAGAGAAGACACUCUACCAACAUUUUUUUAGUGCUGCAUCCCUUGGAGGGCAUGAGGCAAGGCCACGUGAGACACAGUCGGUGCUAGAUUCCUGGAGGCAGAGCUGAGGGUAGGUCUUGAAACCAGCGAGGGUAGCAAGCAGAGGAAGAUGACGAUCCAUUCCUCUUCUGAUCUUCACUAUAAGGGGCACCAAGCCCUGGGUCAUGACAAGGUCUUAUAUUUAGCAUGGACUUGCAACCAGUAAGUGCUGUCCCUUGCUAGCUCUGUGACCCUCUCAUGUGACUUUAACCUCUCUUGAGUCUCAGCUUCACCAUCUUUCGAAUGGGGAUAACACGUAACAUAUCUCAUGAGGAUGAAAUGAUGAACGAACAGGGCCGUUCCCCUGCCUGGACACUCUUCUCUAGAGUGUCUGCAUGUCUCUCUCCCUCACUUGGGUGCAUGGACGCCUACUGUCCAUUGCCCUCCUCUGUCUGCCUCUGGCAAAUGCUUUGUGCUGGGGGUUGGUGGAUAUGAAGGUCAAAUGUCACCAUCUUCCUAGGCCUUUCCAGAAUGCCCUCUUGCCUGCUCUCUCCUUGACAUGCUCCACGUUUCUCCCAUAGCACCUGACACCCUCCAACACUCUGUGUUAACUCACAUAUUUUUGUUUGUUUGUUUCUCACCCUCUGUCUCUCCUUAUUAGAAGGUAAGCUCCACGAGGGCAAGGAUUUAUGGCCUUUUUCUUCCAUGGAUGACUCUGAAACGCCUAGAACAGUACCUGGCACACAGUAGGUGCUCCACUAAUGCUGAAUGAAUGAUGCAUGUGGAAGGCUGAGUCUGGUUCCCACAACACAGUAGUAGCUCAAUAAUGAUAGCAUAUAACAUUAUUAUUUAAUUAUUAUUAAAUUGCCUCAAGCAAUUUUGUGUCCACUGUCUGUCAGGACUGGAUGGGACCAGAUGCCAUUAACUACAUACUCAGUCCUCCCAACAACCAAGUAUAAGGCAGGUACUAUUAUCGUGCCCAUUUGACAGAGGCUCAGGAAUGACUGCCCACAUUCACACAGUUGACAAGGAAUAGGGGGCUGAUUCAGCAUCACACCUAGGCCUGAGUCCCAAGUCCUCUUUUCAGGACUUGGGUGCCUGAAUGUGGGACGUACCUGAUGAAUGGGACUCUCCUUCCAUCAAAGAGGAGGGGCUGUUUGGUUUGAGCCUUUGAAAAAAAGUCAAACACAAGAGGAGAGAGGGUAUAUGAGACAGAGGGAACAGCAUGAGCAAAGGUGUGGGGGUCUACCAGAUGUAUUUCUUGUGCAUCCUCUAUGUGCCCAGCCCAAGGCAAGAUGCAAUGGUGUGUGUGUGUGUGUGUGUGUGUGUGUGAGUGUGUGUGUGUGUGUGUGUGUGUCUGUAUGUGUGUAUGUGU
RNAcentral lists this long non-coding RNA (2072 nucleotides) under Homo sapiens (human). Its description in RNAcentral is "HSALNT0405285". The record is from RNAcentral. Lineage: Eukaryota; Metazoa; Chordata; Mammalia; Primates; Hominidae.